RNAcentral lists this ribosomal RNA (253 nucleotides) under uncultured bacterium. RNAcentral describes it as "partial 16S ribosomal RNA". It matches the Rfam family "Bacterial small subunit ribosomal RNA", at positions 524 to 776 of the family's 1533-position model. The record is from RNAcentral.
UACGGAGGGUGCGAGCGUUGUCCGGAAUCAUUGGGCGUAAAGAGCUCGUAGGCGGUUUGUCACGUCUGCUGUGAAAACUGGAGGCUCAACCUCCAGCCUGCAGUGGGUACGGGCAGACUAGAGUGCGGUAGGGGAGAUUGGAAUUCCUGGUGUAGCGGUGGAAUGCGCAGAUAUCAGGAGGAACACCGAUGGCGAAGGCAGAUCUCUGGGCCGUAACUGACGCUGAGGAGCGAAAGCAUGGGGAGCGAACAGG